Molecule: long non-coding RNA, 1467 nt
Filed under: Diabrotica virgifera virgifera (western corn rootworm)
Lineage: Eukaryota; Metazoa; Arthropoda; Insecta; Coleoptera; Chrysomelidae
Description: uncharacterized LOC114326114
Source: RNAcentral
AAACCAAAGACGUAUGACGUAGAUACAUUAAUAUUAUGUGACACAUGACAGAAGCUCCAAACAAAUGACAAUGGAUGAAAAGCCCUAUUACAGUAAUAAAAAUAAAAAAUAAUUGAUUCGGCUGAUCUAAUGUGAGUUUGAAUAUAUGUUCGGUACAACUUUUUUCGUACUACAUUUCACUUGAAUUUUAUGUUUUCAUCUAAAAUAUUUGGAACUUCAGUGAGAAAGCAAUUAGGAAUGACCAUGAAUGUUCGGUACAACUUUUUUCGUACUACAUUUCACUUGAAUUGUAUGUUUUCAUCUAAAAUAUUUGGAACUUCAGUGAGAAAGCAAUUAGGAAUGACCAUGGCUAAGUUUGUAGUUCGAUUUCCACCAUACCCUUGCGAGUUAAACCCUAUUGAACAUAACAGAAGGCAACAUAAAAGUGGUUUUGGUCAUAAGGAAAGGAAAUGAAGAAACUUUUAUCUGAAAAAGAGGUUUCUAUUAAAUGAAACUGGUUAUGAAGAUGGAAAACUGGAUCCAGUUUCACCAGGAAUUGAGCAUGUUCGAUUGUCGCCAUACUAUUGUGAACUAAUUCCAAUUGAACUUAUAUGGGCUCAAACAAAAAAAUUAAGUAGCAAGGAUAAAAUGUAUUGAGCAUGCAGUGAAAUAGGAGCAAAAUAUGUGGAGGCUUGAUAACUACAUUGAAACCGUGGAACUGGUACAAUGGAACCAGUAGUUGUGGAGCUAGGUGAGGAUACGACUGAUGAACCUGAAGAUAACAUAGAUGACUCAGAUUAGACUAUAAUAUUUUUUGGACCAAUUAAUGGAGAGUCGACAUUGUGUAUGAACAACUCUUGCUACAGCUAAGAGACCUCAACUCAAACAAGAUGACGUAGCAGUAAUGUCCAGAUGAAGAGAUACAAAGAGAUUUUCAGACUCGAGAGUUAGUUGGGACUCACAACAAAAUAAUCAAUUUAGUAGACAAAGCUGAUCGUAGUGCCAUAAUAAAAAAGGUGAAAAUGAAAAAAGAAUAUCAUUUUAUAAACUUCUCAAUACACUUAAUUUUAAGUAUCAAAAACGAGAAAUACAGGGCAUGUUAGAAAAAAAUGAGAUUGUUUUGUGGAGAGAAAUAUUUAAAGAAAAUUAUAUCUAAGCGAAAUGAUGGUCAUAAAAUUUAUUACCUGGAUGAGACGUGGGACACUGGACAUACAAAAUCUAAAUUUUGGACCCAUAAGUCUACUGUUUCUUCAAGCAAGUGUGUCUGGAUGGUUUGUCCACUUGAUUUAAAAAAACUCUUAUCAGAUAAGAAAGAAGCAGACAACUGUAUCUCAGAAACGUCCAGUCUUCACCAUGAGCUCCAUAUAAUUGCACUUCAAAUACUGAAUUUAUAUUGUGUCAAAAAGUAAUUAAAAAUGUAUUAUUUUUCAGUUGUAAGAUUAAUUUUGUGUAUAACUUUUUCGGUUUUCUAAUAAAAUGUUAAAUGAA